RNAcentral lists this ribosomal RNA (274 nucleotides) under uncultured bacterium. Its description in RNAcentral is "partial 16S ribosomal RNA". It matches the Rfam family "Bacterial small subunit ribosomal RNA", at positions 523 to 796 of the family's 1533-position model. The record is from RNAcentral.
CUACGGAGGGUGCAAGCGUUAAUCGGAAUUACUGGGCGUAAAGCGCUCGUAGGCGGCUUGUUAAGUCGGAUGUGAAAGCCCCGGGCUCAACCUGGGAACUGCAUUCGAUACUGGCAGGCUAGAGUAUAGUAGAGGCAAGUGGAAUUCCGGGUGUAGCGGUGAAAUGCGUAGAUAUCCGGAGGAACAUCAGUGGCGAAGGCGACUUGCUGGACUAAUACUGACGCUGAGGAGCGAAAGCGUGGGGAGCAAACGGGAUUAGAAACCCCAGUAGUCC